Long non-coding RNA from Acinonyx jubatus (cheetah), 8074 nucleotides. RefSeq lists it as uncharacterized. The transcript has 4 exons. The record is from RefSeq and is a predicted model, not a curated record. Lineage: Eukaryota; Metazoa; Chordata; Mammalia; Carnivora; Felidae.
GCUAAGCAGUCCUUGACAUGACCUGCUUUCUCCAUUCCCCAUCUGAUGUUUCUGCCCAGACCCCCGGAAGCCCGGGCCUGGCCUCUAGCUGGCUCACAAGAUGUUCUGGACUGAACUCCCAUGGUUGGGCUCGGAGCGGAGCAGAGAGGGCUGGCUGUGUAUAUGGCCUGUGUAUAUGUGAAUGGGGGCUGGGCUGACAGGUGAAGUUGAAGGUAAGGAUACCCAUGGCCUGGUUCCCAGAUUCCUUUUCAAGUUCUCCACAGUUUGCCAAAGUUCCUGGAGGUUGGAACCUUUUCCAAAGUUAGUAAAUGAACGUGACAACAUAGCUUUGGUUGCUCAAAAUUGGGAAGGUUUCGAAGUAAGAAAAGUGGGGGAAAUGGUUGGUGGUGUUGGCAACGUUUUCUAUACUGUAUGCUUUUAAGGAUGAAUUCCCGUUGAAAAGCGCCACGUCUAAGAAUGAGAUACACAUACAUGUAUGCCGGCCUCCGGGUAACCGUGCGGGCUUCUCUCCGGGUUCACUUUCCCUGCCGUCGUGGAUGAGUAAGCUCUGCUCUGGCAACGGCUGCCUGGCCUCGGUGUUGACCCGAAGCCUCUCCAGACCGCAGAUAGCCAGGUAUUCGGCAGGGAGAGUGUUGGGGCUGCACAGAGAAAGCUUCAGGUCCCGGACCAACGUGAAGUUCAGCAGAAGGCCCAGUGCAUAUGCAUCUGUGAACCAGACGGUCAGACGGUCAUCGUAGCUGGUUUGCUCUAUUGCGGAAGGCAGGACGGUGUGGCAGCUGCACAUCAAGUUGGCCAAAGUGUAGUCACAGUCCCGGACGUCCGCGGAGCAAGUGCAGUUCCGAAUGGUGUUUUCCUUCGUGAAGAUCAGAGUGCUGUUCCUCUGACCUCCUGUGAAGCAACCCAGGACAAGGAUGCCCAGGGCGCUGGUCAGCAGGAGGCUGUGCCCAGAAGGUGGGGCCAUUCUUGUCUCAGCGUGGGCCCGCAAGGUUGUGUCUCCCCUUCGUGAGCCAGUUCAUUGCAACUCAACUGAAAGACAAAUACACAGUUGUGUUAUUGCAGGCUCUCAUUAGAAAUAUGCGGGUCAUGGGGCGCCCGGCUGGCUCGGUUGGUAGAGCAUGUGACUCUUAAUCUCAGGGUCGUGAGUCUGAGCCCCAUGUUGGGUGUAGAGGUUGCUUAAAAAAAUAGGAAGGUUAGGGGAAUGGAGCCCCCUAAAUAAUCCAUCGCAAACAUUUCUCUCUUGUGGUUCUAUCAAAGGCAGGCAACGCAAAUGCCUGAGUGGAACCCAAGUGCAGAAAUGAUCUUUUCUCAGAGCCUCGUGAGAGGCAGUGGCCAGCCUACCCGUGUGAGGCAUAAAACUCCCUGUGAUGUCUGCUGGGAGACUGACAUACCAGCAGCAACAAGAUGGGGUGCCAGAGAUGAGACCCAGUGCGCCUGUCUGGGUGCACCAGGGAUCUGUGGUGCUUUGAGCGUGCACACUCUUCAAACAUCGUGUUACUUGUAUUGAGUACUCGACAACCCCUUAAACGUGCACAUUCCCUCCUCCCCUCAAUAUCUGACUUCCUGGAAUUCAGGAGACCAGCAGCUCCAUGAUGGACUCAGCUAUCCAAGUGCUACCUGUGAAACAACAUAGCAUGCAUACCAGCGAAACAUUUAAUGAUAACCUUUAAUUUCUAACUAGACAAACAUCCCCCCCAUCAUAUUAAUCUGUUUAUAGAUCCAUUGAUACUUUCCUGGUCUCCUAGAAAUAGGAGUAUUAGAGUAGAUUUUACCGUGUUAAUAGACCAUGAAAACACUAAUCACAUGCCAGUUACUUGCAAUGAACUUUUCAUUGCCUCCUUUCCCAGAACACCUGUUAUAAAUUGAUUUUAUCAAGUAACUUAGUGUAAGGCUCCAAAACUAAGCAAUAUAUCAGCACUGUUAAAUGACCUAAACAAGAUAAGUCCAUGCUUAGUGUAAGGAGCAACAUCAAUGUCCAAUUUGGAGGAAAAUGGCCUAAGUACUUGAUAUAUAAUAGAUGCGUGGUAUUCUUUUCUGGUGAGGUUGGAAUGAGACACACGUUAUGAAAUAGGGCUCCAGGUUCCAGUCUUGCAAGAAUAAUUACAUUUCCUGGGGCUCCUGGGUGGCUCAGUUGGUUGGUUAAGCAUCUGACUCUUGAUCUCAACUCAGGUCAUGAUCUUGCAGUUUGUGGGAUAGAGCCCCAUGUAGGACUCUGUUCUGACAAGCAGAGCCUGCUUGAGAUUCUCUCUCUCCCUCUCUCUCUGCCCCCCACUCCCACUCGCUCGUUCUCUCCCAAAAUAAAUAAACACUAAAAAAAAAAAUAAUUAAAAUAAGAAUAAUUACACUUCCCCUGAGUUAGCUGAUGGCUGACCAAAAGAUACAAGACCAAAGAUACAAUUCAAUUAAUCUGAAUUGACCAAAGAUACAAUUCAGUCCGUCUGCAUGUACAAAUCACCAUGCAUCUGGAAAAAUACUUGGAAUGAGGCCUCUGGCUCAGAGAGUCCAGGGCUGGUGACAGGGCCCUCAUAGGAAGGCUGCGGAGGGACAGACGAGUCAGUCCGAGGAGCUGAACGUGUGUCCAAAGAGGGUGGUGGUGACAGCAGGAAAGAGGUGAGGCAGACGUGCAACACUUAGGGUGCAAGAUGAGGCCCCGAGGUGGCAAAGCAAGGCAAAGAGAAAUCCAAGGGAGGCAACGCUAAAAAUGCCGGGGUCAGGUGGACAGGGAGGAAGCACACGUUCGUCAGCAGGUGGCCGGAGACUAAAAAUAAGCUCAGCUAAGUAAACUUGAACAGAAAGUAAGACACUGGUUCACAGGAAUCAUAAUAUCAUUCAUUCAUUCAUUUGCUCAUUCAUUCAUUCAUUCACUCAGCAAAUGUUUACUGAGAGUUCACUAGCUGGCAGGCACUUUGCUGGCUCUGGGGAUACAGCCCAGAAGACAGCGAGGUUAUGGAAGUUGGAUUCUAAGCGACUUGAUUCUGCUUCCAGAGCCCAAGGCGGGCCAGGCCUGCGUGUGAGGACCAAGGGCCUGCAGCAGCAGGGUGGAGAGGGAGGCAAAGGCAGGAGUAGGGUGGGGCUCAGCACGGGCCAUGUGCCAAGGCCGAGCAGAAGACACAAAGAUGAACAAAACCUGUACCCUGCCCUCCAAGGGCUCAUAAGCGGAAGAGGAAGACAAAUAGGGCAGGACUGAGAAAGGCCCUAUUGAAUGUACGUGUGGUUAUAGGAACGCAGCAGAGAGAUAGGUUAAAGUCCAUUUGGGGGACUGAAUAAGGUGCUUUAUAUAGUGCUUUGUGUUGACUCUGAAGUUGUUACAGGGUUUUCUUAAAGGAUGUAUUCGUUAGUGCAUUUUGUCAUAAAAGAAAGGGCUUUGAGAAAUGCUCCCAUAGAGCCAGCAUUCUUCCUGAACACGAGGUUUAAGGGUUUUAAAUAGUUUUAGGAUGUGGUGGUGACUACCCCACUUAGUAAGGAGCAGUGACUAACUUAUUAAUUACAAGAUAAUUUUAGAUGAUCGGUUGUCCCCGAUUCCGCUGGAGGUUUGUUUCUAGGACUUCAUGCCCCAGUAACGCUUUCAUAUCAGAACUGAGAAAGCUGUCAUCGACACCACUGGCUUGCUCUGAUCUCAGCCUGGAGGGGAAAGGGAGGUGAAAAAGGGUCUAUCCACAAGCCUGGAACCUGGUGAGAAAAGUGUCUGCUUCAUUUUCCAGGUGCUGAUACCAUUCAGAGGCAUGCAUGGAAGAAGGAAAGAGGUAGGAAGGGAAACAGACAUUGGUUUCCUGAAACAAGGGGAGACUAGAGAUCAUAAAAGGUUUGCGAGCAGCACCUCUUCCCGGCCCUGCAGUCAAGUCCCUGGCUGGAUCUCAGGGUGGCCCCUGCCUUCUGGGUAUCAGGGAGUUCAAAGGCUGGAACAUGGAGGCCGGAUGCAUGAGGCCUGGUGUUGGCUUACAAAGUAGGACAAAUAUUCCUGGUAACAAGCCUAUGGGGUUUCCAAAAAGAUGCUAGUUGGACAUUUUUCUCCUUCGGUUUUACCCUGGACUUCUCUCUUUAGAUUUGUUGAAUGUGGAUUGUGAUCACCCUGGUUUUACUGUGUAUUUAUUCAUUUGUGGGCAGAUUCCGGCAUGGCCUCAGCAGAAUGGGCACAGAUACAUCACACUGUCCCUGCUCCUUCCUGUGCCCCUGACCAUAAUGGGUGUGGUGCCAUGGGGAAAGGAACUGUUGUUUUCCUCUGCGGGUUGCUCAGCUUGUUAGAAGGGAAAUCUUGAUCUACUGGUGACUGUCUUGUCUCCAGAAGGGGGGAGAUUGCCCUACAAUGGAGCCAACAGAGAGGAGAACAGACAAGAAACGCAGAGACAUUUCUAACAACUUUUUCGAGCACCGGGAUCAAGCCAUGCCUGACAUCCUUCUUUGAUUUCUGAAAUAAGUGAGCCAAAAAAUUUUUCCCCCUACUCAAACCAGUCUGAAUUGGAUUUCUGUAACAAGCAGUGAGAAGAGUAUGCUGACAUUGGGCAAACUAUCUUUUGCCCCCCCUUCUUUCAAUAUACCUUUGUUGCGUCCUUGCUGUGUGCUGGGCAUGGUGUGUGAUAAUCACUAUAAUAGCAUUUUGUAUGGGGUGUUGAGUCUACACCUAACUUCGCCUGGAAAUGGAAGAUGUUAUAACAAGCUUCACAGAAGAGGUAGUAUCUGAGGAGGGGAAUAGUUCCUGAGUAAGAAAAAGAAAAGAAAAGGUUAUCUAUGUAGUUAGCACAGGGCGAUCAGAAUUUGAAACAUCCAAAAGUAGGACAGAGGGGGGCGCCUGGGUGGCUCAGUCAGUUGAGCAUCCAACUUCGGCUCAGGUCAUGAUCUCUCGGCCUGUGGGUUCGAGCCCUGCAGGGCUCAGUGCCUGGAGCCUGCUUCCGGUUCUGUGUCUCCCUCUCUUUCUGCCCCUCCCUCCCCCUCCCCCAAAGCUCUGUUUCUCUCUGUCUCUCAAAAAUGAAUAAACAUUAAAAAAAAUUAAUAAAAAAGAAACCAAACAAAAGUAGGACAGAGAGACUGAUGGGCUAUGGGGAUGCUGGUGGGAGAGGGGAGUGGACGAGUCCUGUUGGGGGAGCCUUCUGACUUGCUCUGCCUCAUCAUUUUCUUAGUACCCCAGCUUGUUGUGUGCCCAUCAUCAGGACUUGCCUCCUGUGUCCUAAGAGGAGUCCCCCCACCCCAUCCCAUCCCCCACCACUGUGGGCGGGGGCUUAGUAGGGGGCAGGGGCAAUGUGACGUAUCUGUGCCAUUUUGUUUAUGUUAUGGUGGAUUCUGCCCACAAAUGAAUAAAUACGUAGUGAAACUAGAGGAAAAGUUGAUUCCUCCCUAUGUUAUAGUCUGAGGCCACUGAGGAGGUGGUGGUGGGGGGGAGGGUGUGCUCUGCUCCACGUGGUCAUGUAGGGGCUCAAGCUUUCAUCCACGGCUCUAUCAUCUCCCAGGCCUUUGGAUCCUCUGUGGGCUUUUCGAUCACAUUUCACUGACCAGAACGCAGCCACGCGGCACCCCCUCUCUGCAAGCAGCUUGGAAACGAGGUCCGGCACUGUGCCAAGGGAGGAGAGGACGACGUGGGUAUCGAGGAAAGGCACUUAGGGAAAAGUCUCGGUUGAAGCAACUGGGGCCAAUAAGGACCAGAAACGGAUGAGAUGCUCCAGCAAGAAGCAGAGGGCCUGAAAGAGAAAUCUGGACCCCAGACACAGGAAGAAAGGCAGAAGACAGCCAGCGUCCAGGCACUUCAAAGAAACCCACUCGGAAGCCAGGACUUGGGGAGCUAGGCAAGGAUGUCUCACAAACGCAGUUCCCCAAGUGUGUUUCUGCAAAACUCCUUGAAGGUUCUGAGGGGGGCGAACAGGAGAGAACUUCCAGACAAGGAGAGCAAGAGGGACUUUGCAGAUGUGAUUACAUUAAGGAUCUUGGGAUGGGGAGACCCUGGAUUAUCUGGGUGAGCCCAAUGUAAUCACAAGGGUCCUUCUAAGAGGAAACCGGAGGAGACAGAGGAGAAAAAGGCAAUGUGGCAACAGAAACAGAGAUCGGAGCGAUAUGGCUGGAAGCCAAGGAAUGCCAGCAAACUCUAGAAGCUGCAAGAGACAAGAAACGGAUUCUCCCCUGGAGCCUCCCCAAGGAAGGAGCCCUGUCAACACCUUGACUUUAGCACAGUCAGCCUGCUUUUGGACUUUGACCUCCGGAAAUGUAAGAGAAUACUUUCUUCUAUUUUAAGUCACUGAGUUUGUGGAAAUUUGUUAGGUAGUCAUAGGAAACUAAUAUAGAGAAUAUAAGGUAAUUACAAAGCACCCAUAUCAAACCACCCUUUGGACUAAACACACACACUAGGGGUGCCCGGGUGGCUGUCGGUUGAGCAUCUGACUUGGGCUCAGCUCAGGAUCUCGUGAUGCGUGAGUUCAAGCCCCGCGUCGGUCUCUGUGCUGACAGCUCAGAGCCUGGAGCCUGCUUUGGAUUCUGUGUCUCCCUCUCUCUCUGCCUUUCCCCCACUCACACUCUGCCUCUCUCUCUCUCUCUCAAAAAUAAACGUUAAAAAAGUUUUUUUUAAACACGCUAGCCACUCUAUUUACAGCCCUGCAGUGUUUGCUAAUUGUUUCCUGUGUCUUACUACUCUCACUAGACUGGAUCGUAAGGAAGCUCUUGGGGUAACUCUAUCCCAACCUCCAUUACUGGCUUUCUGAAAUACCAAGCUCAAAACUGUCCAGAGUAGUCAUGCUGCACUGGGUCCAGCCCAGCGUAAAUGAGGCAUCUGGACAUGUCUCAUGAAUUCCGAGGGGGGCCUGUAUCCAGGUGGUGAUUUGCAUGUGUGGACCUGUCGAGGAAAAAAGAAGGAAGCGUGAAGACGGUGUGUGAAGGCCUGGGGCAGGGCUGAGUGGAGGGACAGGAUGGCACUUGUCUCUUCUCAGCCCAGACUAAUUAAUGCCAUGGGCUGAGUCCUGUGGAGCCGCAGGCAGAGGCUGCAUGGACAGCUCUCAAGAACCCUGAGAUGUGGGGCACGAGUGGCCCCUAUCUGGGUGACGACACCGGGCUGGGGACAGAGUCAUUCCCCCCACUUGCGCACUGAGUGCAGGACAGCUCUGGUACGAUGAGGAAGGAGGGACAAGCAGCACCAUUUGGCCUUCCCUGGAGGAUGGAUGGGAGUGCCCCUGGUCACUCCUCUUUGGGCAGUGAAUCAGUGGGGAGCCCCAUGGCUAAGGCAAGGGACAGUCACCAUCCAAUGGUGGUUGGGGAGAGAAUCAAGUGAAGGGAUCAUUUCUGAGCAUAUGUAAGACAUUUCUGGGGGCUCUAUUGUGUAGACACAGAGGUAGGAAGGAGGCAAGGCUUUGUAUCAGGGAGGUGGAAACACAAAUCGGCAAAAUGCAAGCUAUUAAUGUGCAUUUGAACUUAUUUGUGCCCAGUGGUUGGUGAAGCCAGGACUCCUUCAAGGAUCAGUUAAUUACUGCUUUUAGAUUAAAUGUAUUCAAUAAUGGAAAUGGACCUGAGAGCCAACUUGAACAAACGAAAGCAUUUUGUGUUUUGAAAGCAUUGAGCUCAACUGGGUGUUGAUUUCACCCAUCGUUUGCUAAUCAGAUCCCGGACCCCUUGGUGUCGGUGUGCUGUGUAAGUCAGGUUUCUGAUGUGGCAAAAACCUGGUCUUUUUGUUGACUGUGGUUUUCCCAGUCCUUAGCACAGUGCCUGAUGCAUAGAGCCACUCCGUAAAUAUUCAUACUAUCCCUACAUUAUAAAUCCCUACAUUAGCUAAGUCAGAGAUGCAUGUUACUGACCCUUUACCUCCACUUUUACCUUCCACCUCCUGGAAUCGUGCAGUGUUAUCAUGUUACCAAAAUCAGCAAGCAAAAUGCAUCUUCUUUAGCAGGGAUUUCGGUGUUUGGCCUAGCCAUGACAAAGGAAGCAUACUGAGAUUUUGUGUAUGGGCAAGAGGAUGGGAAAUUCGAACCCAACAUCCUACGCCUUGCCUGUGAGUCCCCCCCUGAAAGCCACUGAAUGACAUCUGGCAAAAGCCCCAUGAAGCAUCCCCAUCCUCCGUGGCUUUACCGAUCAGCACCGUGUAGGCUUGCAGUUGCCUAGGAAUCUUCUC